GAUAAAAGUAGCAAUACUUGGACAUCGGCGAAAGAGAGAGUAAUACAUAGGUACGUACCCUUGGGAUUGGGAUAGCGGCGGGAAUCUGCCGCUAAUAUCAGAUGACGUAUCCGAACCAAAGGUGCGAAUCCGCAUGAGGAGCGGCCUCUGUCCUAUUAGCUUGUUGGUGGGGUUCCGCCCUACCAAGGCAAAGAUGGGUAUGGGGUGUGAGAGCAUGCCCCCACUCACUGGGACUGAGACACUGCCCAGACACCUACGGGUGGCUGCAGUCGAGAAUCUUCGGCAAUGGACGCAAGUCUGACCGAGCGACGCCGCGUGCGGGAUGAAGGCCUUCGGGUUGUAAACCGCUGUCGUAGAGGAGGAAAUUCUGGUGGGUACUCCCAUCAGAUUGACUGAUUCUAGGAGGAAGGACCGGCUAAUCUCGUCCAGCAGCCGCGGUAAUACGAGAGGUCCAAACGUUAUUCGGAAUUACUGGGCUUACAGAGUUCGUAGGCGGUUCUACAAGUGAGGUGUGAAAGCCCUCGGCUCAACCGAGGAACUGCGCUUCAAACUGUAGAACUAGAGGGAGAUAGAGGUGAGCAGAUCUGAUGGUGGAGCGGUGAAAUGCGUUGAUAUCAUCAGGAAUCCCGGAGGCGAAGGCGGCUCUCUGGGUCUCUUCUCACGGUGAGGAACGAAAGCUAGGGGAGCACACGGGAUUAGAUCCCCCGGUAGUCCUACCCGUAAACGAUGAGCUCUGGG
This 738-nucleotide ribosomal RNA is filed under the name uncultured bacterium. RNAcentral describes it as "bacterial SSU rRNA". It matches the Rfam family "Bacterial small subunit ribosomal RNA", at positions 66 to 820 of the family's 1533-position model. The record is from RNAcentral.